UUUACUUUUCUAGUUAUAGGACUUUCAUUCAGCCAGCUUUCAGGCAGUUCUGAAUGAUGGUUGUUCUGUAUUUUAGCUGUAAU
This 83-nucleotide microRNA precursor is filed under the name Myotis brandtii (Brandt's bat). Its description in RNAcentral is "mir-9236 microRNA precursor family". It matches the Rfam family "mir-9236 microRNA precursor family". The record is from Rfam by way of RNAcentral. Lineage: Eukaryota; Metazoa; Chordata; Mammalia; Chiroptera; Vespertilionidae.